Non-coding RNA from Oryza nivara, 207 nucleotides. The record is from Rfam. NCBI's taxonomy places the organism in Eukaryota, Viridiplantae, Streptophyta, Magnoliopsida, Poales, Poaceae.
AAAAAAAGACAACCUAAAUUUUCAUGUCCAACGUUUGACUAUCCGUUCUAUAUGAUGUUUUUUUAUAAUUAGUAUUUUCAUUGUUGUUAGAUGAUAAAACAUGAUUAAUACUUUAUGCGUAACUUGUCUUUUUAAUUUUUUUCAUAUUUUUUUCAAAUAAGACGGAUAGUCAAACGUUGGACACGGAAACUCAGGGUUUGUCUUUUU